UGCCCAGACUCCUACGGGAGGCAGCAGUGGGGAAUAUUGCACAAUGGGGGGAACCCUGAUGCAGCAAUGCCGCGUGGGUGAAGAAGCACUCCGGUGCGUAAAGCCCUGUCAGCAGGGAAGAAAAUGACAGUACCUGACCAAGAAGCCCCGGCUAACUACGUGCCAGCAGCCGCGGUAAUACGUAGGGGGCAAGCGUUAUCCGGAUUUACUGGGUGUAAAGGGAGCGUAGACGGCAGCGCAAGUCUGAAGUGAAAUCCCAUGGCUUAACCAUGGAACUGCUUUGGAAACUGAGCAGCUAGAGUGCAGGAGAGGUAAGCGGAAUUCCUAGUGUAGCGGUGAAAUGCGUAGAUAUCAGGAGGAACACCGGUGGCGAAGGCGGCCUGCUGGACUGCAACUGACGUUGAGGCCCGAAAGCGUGGGGAGCAAACAGGAUUAGAUACCCGCGUACC
Molecule: ribosomal RNA, 449 nt
Filed under: uncultured bacterium
Lineage: Bacteria
Description: bacterial SSU rRNA
Rfam family: Bacterial small subunit ribosomal RNA
Source: RNAcentral